RNAcentral lists this non-coding RNA (21 nucleotides) under Caenorhabditis elegans. Lineage: Eukaryota; Metazoa; Nematoda; Chromadorea; Rhabditida; Rhabditidae. The record is from RNAcentral.
UCCAAUAUGAAUAGAAUUUUU